UGAACGCUAGCGGCAGGCCUAAUACAUGCAAGUCGAGGGGUACAGGUGUAGCAAUACAUGCUGACGACCGGCGCACGGGUGCGUAACACGUAUGCAACCUACCCAUUACUGGAGGAUAGCCCGAAGAAAUUCGGAUUAAUACUCCAUAGUAUAGUGAAGAGGCAUCUCUUUAUUAUUAAACUCCGGUGGUAAUGGAUGGGCAUGCGUUGCAUUAGCUAGNGGUUGAGGUAACGGCUCACCAAGGCUACGAUGCAUAGGGGA
This 261-nucleotide ribosomal RNA is filed under the name uncultured bacterium. Its description in RNAcentral is "partial 16S ribosomal RNA". It matches the Rfam family "Bacterial small subunit ribosomal RNA", at positions 30 to 290 of the family's 1533-position model. The record is from RNAcentral.